This 205-nucleotide unclassified non-coding RNA is filed under the name Hevea brasiliensis (rubber tree). The record is from RNAcentral. Lineage: Eukaryota; Viridiplantae; Streptophyta; Magnoliopsida; Malpighiales; Euphorbiaceae.
GCCCUCUUUACUUGUCCCACAUGAAAAAAGCCUUGUACCAUCAGCACUGUAAGCCAUGGUUGUGCACCAGCGACCAGGAGCCUCAUAAUCAACACGAGAUCCCAAAUUGUCAUACAACCAUGCCUUUAUCUUCCCAUCCAAUGCAGUUGAAAAAAUAAACUGAAUGUUUUCCUUAUAGUGAGGGCAGACAGAAUAAACAGGAGCC